CUUUCCGGGAACCAAAAAGGCAGCGGUGAUGAUAACUCCUUUUAUCGUCUCCUUCCAGCUGUCCAGGACGGUCUCCUUUUCCCUGUUCUCCUGAGCCUACUCUUUGAUAUGGAAAACUCCUGGUCCUCCAUUCCAAAAAACAGCCUUCCAGGUUGCCUUAUAAAAAAUCUGCAAACUUUAGACCUCAGGCAAGACGUCCGCCCUAAGUGCCUUAUCUUUUUUAUACAAUAAAGCCUGGUCAGACUGUGAAUUAGAUUAGAUAACGAGUCCAGAUGGCCCACAAAUAGAUCAUUCUACUUUACAAUUUCAACUGACUUAAGCAGUUAUUGCCAGCCACUGGAAAAAAUGGAGAGAAAUUCCUUGUGUCCAGGACUUUUUGCACUCAGAUCACAAACUGACCUCUGCAAUUCUUGCUUACCUGUUCAAAUCCUUCUCCAUUCUCAUCUCCCUCAUCACCUUUCUCCUCCUGACCCUACCUCUUUUCCUCAUUGGAUCCAGCUGACUGCUGUCCACCCCUCCCAGCCCCUACCCCUCCAUCUCUACCAUCUUCAUGAACUCCCCAAGCCUCCUCGUUGUCUUCUCAGCCAUCAUCUUCCCAGCUGACAUCACCUCCAAAAUUAGCCACUUCUUUUCCUACACCGUCCUCUCCUCAGGACAACUCUAGCAUUGCUUGUACUCAUUCUCCUUCCUCACUGCCCUCUCCUGAAGCUCGUAAACCCAUCAAGUCACCUUACAUCCCUAUCUGUCCUCCACUGCCUAUCAACUCAACCCCCCUUUCCCCUUCAAACCCUCAGCAGGAACCCCUUCUGGCUUCUUCCUUCUCUCCUGCCCACACCAGCGUAGGCACCAUCUUUGGCCCAUGCACCACCCAUACUUCAGCGCUGGUGCUAGGUUCCCCACUUCAGGAAGUAGCAGGAACUGAAGGUAUUGUUAGAAUUCAUGUUCCCUUCUUCCUCACUGAUCUCUCUCAAAUUAACAAAAGACUCAGUUCAUUUUCAGAAGACCUUACCUCUUAUAUUAGGGAGUUUCAGUACCUUAUACAGUCUUAUGAACUAACCUGGCACGACCUCUACUUAUCCUCUCUUUCACCCUCACCCCAGAAGACCGGGUCCAUAUUUGGACCCUAGCUCAGGUGUAUGCUAAUACAAUUCAUCACCAAGCUCCUGCCCAGCCUACUGGCACAGAGGCAGUCCUGAACCAGGAAUCCCACCAGGAUUGUCAAGACAGGGCCUCUGGACACUGCCAUCAAGACCACAUGAUUGUGUGUCUCCUUUCAGGACUCAAAAAGGGUUCCCAUAAAGUCGUAGACUAUGAAAAACUUUCAGAAAUCACCGAAGGUGCUGACAAAAACCCAACCCUUUUUCUCUUCUGUUUAACUGAAGUCAUGAGAAAAUAUACCAACCUAGACCCAGCCAGCCCCAAAGGAACCACUAUUUUAAACCUUUGCUUCCUCAACCAAUCUACCCCUGACAUUUGGCGCAAGCUUCAGAAGCUUGACUACGGCUCUCAAACCCCACAAUGAAACCUUCUUAAUUUAGCCUUCAAAGCCUUUAAUAGUUGUGAUGAGGAAAGUAAAAGAGAGAGAGAAAAAAAAGGACAGUUUCAAAUGCUUGCCUCCACCAUCAGGGGCCCUGUAGGCCCAUGGGGCUGCAGCUCCACACAGAGGCCUCCUAGCAAUCCACCUCCACCUAGUGCCUAUUAUCAAGUGCGGCAAUGAAGGCCACUGGUCUGGGCAAUGCCCAAACCCAGGUAAGCCCACCAGGCCGUGCCCCCUCUGCAGAGGACCCCACUGGAAGUCAGACUGUAAGGAGCCCCAGCAAGGACCGCCCCCUUGCCUGCCCCAGCCGGCCAAAACCUCCUUCUCCGAUCUCAUCGUCCUUGCUGCUGAAGACGGACAGUGACCUGGAACAGACGCCCCAGCAACUACCAUUGCUUCAUCUGAGCCAAGGGUAACCCUGAUGGUGGCAGACUCCCAACAUCCAUCCAGUCCGAUAGUGGUCCUGCCUUCAUCAGUCAAAUUUCCCAAGGCAUUUUUACAUCCUUAAGAAUAAAGCACAGACGUGUAACCAGACAAUCCAGACGGUGCUCCUGCUACAACGACAUGCUGGAUACCAACCAGUUUCUCAAGAAUACCCCCAAAAUUAAGAUUUUCUUUUCCCAAGGUGCCCAUGCCAACCCCUAUGUCAUGCCUGAAGUAGUUAUUGAGAAAGUCACCCCUUUUUCCUUUAUUCUAUAACCAAAUAGACAAGGAUGAAAGAUUCUCCUUGAGGCCUGAAAGCUUGAAGGGAUGAGUAACUCCUCCUCUCAGGUGCAGUCCCAAGACGCAAGGCCACUUGUGUCAGCAGCAUGCAUCAGCAAGAGAGCAGAAGCAGGAAGAGAGCCAACUGGAAGACACCUACCCUGGCUGGAAGACACAUACCCCUGAAGAUCAAGAAAGAGGUCGUCUGGGUACUAGAUAGCAGUCACACCAGACUGGGACACUUACUGUUUACAGAGGACUAUAAAACCCCUGUCCCAUCCUCACUUGGGGCUGAUGCCAUUUUAGGCCUUAGUCCGCCUGCACCCAGGUACUCAUUAAAACAGCAUGUUGUUCCACA
Molecule: non-coding RNA, 2597 nt
Organism: Macaca mulatta (Rhesus monkey)
Lineage: Eukaryota; Metazoa; Chordata; Mammalia; Primates; Cercopithecidae
Source: RefSeq, a predicted model, not a curated record